Molecule: non-coding RNA, 28 nt
Filed under: Homo sapiens (human)
Lineage: Eukaryota; Metazoa; Chordata; Mammalia; Primates; Hominidae
Source: RNAcentral
UAGUUAUGAAUGGAGUCUGUUUUGAGUA